This 492-nucleotide ribosomal RNA is filed under the name uncultured bacterium. RNAcentral describes it as "partial 16S ribosomal RNA". It matches the Rfam family "Bacterial small subunit ribosomal RNA", at positions 29 to 507 of the family's 1533-position model. The record is from RNAcentral.
AGUGAACGCUGGCGGUAGGCCUAACACAUGCAAGUCGAACGGCAGCACAGUAAGAGCUUGCUCUUACGGGUGGCGAGUGGCGGACGGGUGAGGAAUACAUCGGAAUCUACUUUUUCGUGGGGGAUAACGUAGGGAAACUUACGCUAAUACCGCAUACGACCUACGGGUGAAAGCAGGGGAUCUUCGGACCUUGCGCGAUUGAAUGAGCCGAUGUCGGAUUAGCUAGUUGGCGGGGUAAAGGCCCACCAAGGCGACGAUCCGUAGCUGGUCUGAGAGGAUGAUCAGCCAAACUGGAACUGAGACACGGUCCAGACUCCUACGGGAGGCAGCAGUGGGGAAUAUUGGACAAUGGGCGCAAGCCUGAUCCAGCCAUACCGCGUGGGUGAAGAAGGCCUUCGGGUUGUAAAGCCCUUUUGUUGGGAAAGAAAAGCAGCAGGUUAAUACCCCGCUGUUCCGACGGUACCCAAAGAAUAAGCACCGGCUAACUUCGUG